GACGAACGCUGGCGGCGUGCUUAACACAUGCAAGUCGAACGAUGACGCCCGAGCUUGCUCGGUCUGAUUAGUGGCGAACGGGUGAGUAACACGUGAGCAACCUGCCCUUCACUCUGGGAUAACCUCGGGAAAUCGGGGCUAAUACCGGAUAUGAGCUCCUGUCGCAUGGCGGGUGUUGGAAAGUUUUUCGGUGAAGGAUGGGCUCGCGGCCUAUCAGUUUGUUGGUGAGGUAGUGGCUCACCAAGGCGAUGACGGGUAGCCGGCCUGAGAGGGCGACCGGCCACACUGGGACUGAGAGACGGCCCAGACUCCUACGGGAGGCAGCAGUGGGGAAUAUUGCACAAUGGGCGAAAGCCUGAUGCAGCGACGCCGCGUGAGGGAUGACGGCCUUCGGGUUGUAAACCUCUUUCAGCAGGGAAGAAGCGAAAGUGACGGUACCUGCAAAAGAAGCGCCGGCUAACUACGUG
Molecule: ribosomal RNA, 467 nt
Filed under: uncultured bacterium
Lineage: Bacteria
Description: partial 16S ribosomal RNA
Rfam family: Bacterial small subunit ribosomal RNA
Source: RNAcentral